GACGAACGCUGGCGGCGUGCUUAACACAUGCAAGUCGAACGGAAAGGCCCUGCUUUUGUGGGGUGCUCGAGUGGCGAACGGGUGAGUAACACGUGAGUAACCUGCCCUUGACUUUGGGAUAACUUCAGGAAACUGGGGCUAAUACCGUAUAGGAGCUCCUGCUGCAUGGUGGGGGUUGGAAAGUUUCGGCGGUUGGGGAUGGACUCGCGGCUUAUCAGCUUGUUGGUGGGGUAGUGGCUUACCAAGGCUUUGACGGGUAGCCGGCCUGAGAGGGUGACCGGCCACAUUGGGACUGAGAUACGGCGCAGACUCGUACGGGAGGCAGCAGUGGGGAAUAUUGCACAAUGGGCGGAAGCCUGAUGCAGCAACGCCGCGUGCGGGAUGACGGCCUUCGGGUUGUAAACCGCUUUCGCCUGUGACGAAGCGUGAGUGACGGUAAUGGGUAAAGAAGCACCGGCUAACUACGUG
Molecule: ribosomal RNA, 468 nt
Filed under: uncultured bacterium
Lineage: Bacteria
Description: partial 16S ribosomal RNA
Rfam family: Bacterial small subunit ribosomal RNA
Source: RNAcentral